Molecule: ribosomal RNA, 2082 nt
Filed under: Triticum aestivum (bread wheat)
Lineage: Eukaryota; Viridiplantae; Streptophyta; Magnoliopsida; Poales; Poaceae
Description: partial small subunit ribosomal RNA
Source: RNAcentral
AUGAGAUCGAGAGCCACGGGAACUUGCUUCCUGGCUCUCCAGUUCAUCCUAUUCUUCACUUUCAAUAUUGCCGGCGUCAGUCCUCUGUCCUUCAAGCUGAAUUUCACCGAAUCCAACUAUACUGCGUCCACCGCAAUCAAGUUCCAGGAGGAUGCCUUCUACAACAAGGGGAUCAAGCUGACCAAGGACGAGCUCAAAGACGAGAUCACUAACAGUGUAGGCCGAGCAGUCUACGCCGAUCCAGUGCUCCUCUGGGAUACCACCACUGGUCAGUUAGCCGACUUCUCAACCCACUUCACCUUCAGGAUAACUGCCACAAACUUAACCGCAACCAACAAUCCAUACGGUGAGGGCCUAGCCUUCUUCCUCUCACCGUACCCUUCGGUGGUUCCCAAUAGCUCCACUGGUGGUUUUCUUGGCCUCUUCAGCAAUGGGAGUGAUCAGAAUGACCCAUCCAAUGAGCUCGUGGCUGUUGAGUUCGACAGCCACAAUAACACAUGGGAUCCAAAAGGCGACCAUGUGGGCAUCGACAUCCAUUCAGUUGUAUCCGUAGACAAGGUGUUGUGGAAUAGUAGCAUUAAUGAUGGUCGCAUAGCCAAUGCGUGGGUAAGUUACCAGGCCAGCUCCUUCAACUUGAGCAUCUUCUUGACGUACCUGGAGGAUCCACAAUUCAGUGGCAACUCCACCUUAUCUUAUUCAGUUGAUCUCAGAAAAUACCUCCCAGGCAAAGUGGCCAUUGGCUUCUCAGCUGCCACGGGUAGAUUUGUUGAGCUCCAUGAGAUACUUUACUGGGAAUUCAAUUCUACGGAUUUGCAGCUGAUGAAGACUGAGAAGAUGAGAAGUGUACUGGUCAUAAGCUUGGCUACUACCAUAAGUGUCAUGGUAUGUUCUGUGUGCUUGGUUUGGUGCCUUCUGCAUUUUAGGACUAGGAGAUCAAGAAAUGAGAAACAAAAGAAGCUAGGGUAUCAUGAGUCCAUUGAUGGUGAAUUUGAAAAAGGGAGUGGCCCAAGAAGAUUUCGGUACAAUGAACUUGUGGCCGCCACAAGGAACUUUGCUUUGGAGAGGAAGCUUGGAGAAGGAGGAUUCGGCGCAGUCUACCAGGGCCUUUUGAAGGAUCAAAACCUCGAUGUUGCCAUAAAGCGAGUGGCAAAGGGGUCUACACAGGGAAGGAAGGAGUACAUAUCUGAGGUCAAGAUCAUCAGCCGGCUGAGGCAUCGCAACCUUGUGCAGCUUGAGGGCUGGUGUCAUGAGCAUGGAGAGUUCUUGCUUGUCUAUGAGUUCAUGCCAAACAGGAGCUUGGACACACACCUCUAUGAUAACAGUAAUUUGCUAACAUGGCCAUUGAGGUUCAAGGUCACCGCAGGUGUUGCAUCUGCCCUCCUGUACCUCCACGAGGAAUGGGAGCAAUGUGUCAUUCACCGUGAUAUCAAACCGAGCAAUGUCAUGCUUGAUUCUGCAUUCAAUGCCAAGCUUGGUGAUUUUGGGCUCGCGCGGCUCAUUGACCACGACCGAGCCUCGCAAACUACAGUGUUAGCUGGGACAAUGGGUUACAUGGCUCCAGAGUGUGUCACCACUGGCAAGGCAAUCAAAGAAUCUGAUGUCUACAGCUUUGGGAUUCUUGCAUUGGAGAUUGCAUGCGGAAGGCGACCAGUUGUACUAAAGGAAGACGAUGACAAGAUCGUAUUGGUUCAGUGGGUAUGGGAUCUCUAUGGAAGAAACAAGAUUCUUAAUGCAGUUGACAGCAGGCUUGAUGGCACAUUUGAAGAUAGAGAGGCAGCGUGUUUGAUGGUCGUCGGACUGUGGUGUGCACAUCCAGAUUACAAUCUCCGACCUUCGAUUCGUCAGGUCAUAAGUGUACUGAAGUUUGAAGCACCAUUGCCAAACCUUCCCCCGAAGAUGCCAGUGGCCAUGUACUUUGCACCGCCAAUUUCUCUGUGCAGGUUUUCAUACACCUCAUCUGAUGGGACACUCAAGCAGCAGGAGCUGGAGAGGUCCAAUGGUUAUGGAAAAACAAGCUCAUCCACUGCAACCAAUGCAUCCAGUUCACCUCCUUCUGUGCGGUUGCCAGAGGUGGGCUACUAA